RNAcentral lists this small RNA (36 nucleotides) under Propionibacterium australiense. Its description in RNAcentral is "CRISPR_Spacer". The record is from RNAcentral. Lineage: Bacteria; Bacillati; Actinomycetota; Actinomycetes; Propionibacteriales; Propionibacteriaceae.
CUCCCUGAUCGUGGCUACGCGCAGCUGCGCGAGCAC